GUAGGGUGCAAGCGUUACUCGGAAUUACUGGGCGUAAAGCGUGCGUAAGCGGUUUGUUAAGUCUGUCGUGAAAGCCCCGGGCUCAACCUGGGAAUGGCGAUGGAAACUGGCGAGCUAGAGUACGGUAGGGGAGAGUGGAAUUCCCGGUGUAGCAGUGGAAUGCGUAGAGAUCGGGAGGAACAUCAGUUGCGAAGGCGGCUCUCUGGACCAGUACUGACGCUGAGGCACGAAAGCGUGGGGAGCAAACAGGAUUAGAUACCCUGGUAGUCCACACCGUAAACGUCGGGCGCUAGGUGUGGGGUCCAUUCCACGGAUUCCGUGCCGGAGCUAACGCGUUAAGCGCCCCGCCUGGGGAGUACGGCCGCAAGGCUA
This 372-nucleotide ribosomal RNA is filed under the name uncultured bacterium. Its description in RNAcentral is "bacterial SSU rRNA". It matches the Rfam family "Bacterial small subunit ribosomal RNA", at positions 527 to 896 of the family's 1533-position model. The record is from RNAcentral.